UUGGAGGGCAAGUCUGGUGCCAGCAGCCGCGGUAAUUCCAGCUCCAAUAGCGUAUAUUAAAGUUGUUGCAGUUAAAAAGCUCGUAGUUGAAUUUCGGGAUCAAUACGUCGGUCGUGCUUUUUUGGUACGCACUGGCGUCAUUGGUUUCUCCUUUCUGACGAACCAUGAUGUCAUUAAUUUGGUGUUAUGGGGAGUUAGGACUGUUACUUUGAAAAAAUUAGAGUGUUUAAAGCAGGCAUUAGCUUGAAUACAUUGGCAUGGAAUAAUGAAAUAGGACGUUCGAUCCUAUUUUGUUGGUUUCUAGGAUCAACGUAAUGAUUAAUAGGGAUAGUUGGGGGCAUUAGUAUUCAAUUGUCAGAGGUGAAAUUCUUGGAUUUAUUGAAGACUAACUACUGCGAAAGCAUUUGCCAAGGAUGUUUUCAUUAAUCAAGAACGAAAGUUAGGGGAUCGAAGACGAUCAGAUACCGUCGUAGUCUUAACCAUAAACUAUGCCGACUAGGGAUCGGAUGAUGCUAAUUUUUAAUGACUCAUUCGGCGCCUUACGGGAAAC
This 550-nucleotide ribosomal RNA is filed under the name uncultured Glomeromycotina. Its description in RNAcentral is "SSU rRNA". It matches the Rfam family "Eukaryotic small subunit ribosomal RNA", at positions 548 to 1098 of the family's 1831-position model. The record is from RNAcentral. Lineage: Eukaryota; Fungi; Glomeromycota.